AGGAGCAACAGCCCUAGUGGUGGGGCCAGCUCUGGAAACCUGGAUUCAGCCCCCGCAGGAACUCCGGAGCUCUCUGUCUGCAGGGCCUGGAGGCUCCGGGGCGGG
This 105-nucleotide microRNA precursor is filed under the name Canis lupus familiaris (dog). Its description in RNAcentral is "mir-8834 microRNA precursor family". It matches the Rfam family "mir-8834 microRNA precursor family". Lineage: Eukaryota; Metazoa; Chordata; Mammalia; Carnivora; Canidae. The record is from Rfam by way of RNAcentral. RNAcentral also lists the same sequence under 1 other name.